UACGAAGGUCCCAAGCGUUGUUCGGAAUCACUGGGCGUAAAGGGAGCGUAGGCGGCGUGGUAAGUCAGAUGUGAAAUCCCGGGGCUCAACCCCGGAACUGCAUCCGAUACUGCCAUGCUAGAGGAUUGGAGAGGUAGCUGGAAUUCUUGGUGUAGCAGUGAAAUGCGUAGAGAUCAAGAGGAACACUCGUGGCGAAAGCGAGCUACUGGACAAUUCCUGACGCUGAGGCUCGAAGGCUAGGGUAGCGAAAGGG
This 253-nucleotide ribosomal RNA is filed under the name Luteolibacter sp. RNAcentral's name for it is "partial 16S ribosomal RNA". It matches the Rfam family "Bacterial small subunit ribosomal RNA", at positions 524 to 776 of the family's 1533-position model. Lineage: Bacteria; Pseudomonadati; Verrucomicrobiota; Verrucomicrobiia; Verrucomicrobiales; Verrucomicrobiaceae. The record is from RNAcentral. RNAcentral also lists the same sequence under 3 other names.